CAUCUAAAUAAUUCGAUUGAAGUGAAUUAUUGAUAUGAGUCUAUGCUAUUUGAAUCAGCUAGACUAAUGUUUAUGAAAACUCUAAGUGUUCAUUGUAAGAAAUUUCCUGAACCAAAUUGUUUGGUGCGGAAUCCUAUGAUAAGACUGAGGUGAACAAUGUUGUUUGGAUAAAUGAUCCAAUCUAAUGGCAUAAAUAUUCGCUAGGUAUGAUUAAUACGUUAUGCAUGACGUAGGGGUACAAUAGGCUAAUCACCCAAAGUACUAUUAAUGGUAGUUUACCUUCUUUGUGAUUGUAAACAUACCAGGUAAUGUUUUGUUUUGCGGUAUGAAUACCGUUAAAACUAUGUGUUCAUGGUCUAUAUGACCCCUCAGCAUAAUUUGAAAACUUUUACUCUUAUGAGAGGUGUAUUGGGUAGCAUGUGAUGAUAUGUGUGAAUGUUGUAGGCACAGAUAGAGUUAGCCGAGUUAUGAGGGAGGUUGGAGCAGAGGGAGAUAUUCAGAUAAGACAGUUGAAGGUUGAAAUAGAAGCCAAAGACACCAGAUAUAUACCUUGGCCAGGCUUUAGUCAUCACCUUCAUGCGAUUCAAUGCAGAGUGGAUGGAGCUGCCUUUCGGCAGAGAUAGGCGUUGAUGAGAAUUGAAUAAAUUUAUCGUCAAUCAAAAUAAGAGACAACGUAUAUAGAACUCUUGAUUGCUGUGUAUAUAUACUAUAUGUUAAUCAGGGUAACUUAUGUAUGUAGAUGUCUGGUGAGAAAGAUAUGUGGAAUAAGAAGGAUCAUAUUCACACCCCGAGCUAAUAUCGAGGCCAACAGAUGAAAUAGAAGCUCACUAGGAACCGAAAUCGAACGAGGUGGCUAUCAUGGAAAAACGUAACAUCAGAUCCAGAAAUGUUGGAUUUGAUAGAUAGUGAUUCAGACACUAAAGUUGAAGCUGCUCAAGCAUCAACGGAGGUGCAGGAUUUGGAGAACAAGGUUUCUUCAUUGGAAAGGUUGUGGGAGAUAGAAAAGUUGAUGCGUCAGGCGUUAAU
RNAcentral lists this long non-coding RNA (1026 nucleotides) under Panax ginseng (ginseng). Its description in RNAcentral is "long non-coding RNA (PGIN_LNC009349)". Lineage: Eukaryota; Viridiplantae; Streptophyta; Magnoliopsida; Apiales; Araliaceae. The record is from RNAcentral.